UCUUCGGAUGCUGACGAGUGGCGAACGGGUGAGUAAUACAUCGGAACGUGCCUGGUAGUGGGGGAUAACUACUCGAAAGAGUAGCUAAUACCGCAUGAGAUCUACGGAUGAAAGCAGGGGACCUUCGGGCCUUGUGCUACCAGAGCGGCUGAUGGCAGAUUAGGUAGUUGGUGGGGUAAAGGCUUACCAAGCCUGCGAUCUGUAGCUGGUCUGAGAGGACGACCAGCCACACUGGGACUGAGACACGGCCCAGACUCCUACGGGAGGCAGCAGUGGGGAAUUUUGGACAAUGGGCGAAAGCCUUGAUCCCAGCAAUGCCGCGUGCAGGAUGAAGGCCCUUCGGGUUGUAAACUGCUUUUGUACGGAACGAAAAGCCUGGGGCCAAUACCCCCCGGGUCAUGACGGUACCGUAAGAAUAAGCACCGGCUAACUACGUGCCAGCAGCCGCGGUAAUACGUAGGGUGCAAGCGUUAAUCGGAAUUACUGGGCGUAAAGCGUGCGCAGGCGGUUUUGUAAGACAGUGGUGAAAUCCCCGGGCUCAACCUGGGAACUGCCAUUGUGACUGCAAGGCUAGAGUGCGGCAGAGGGGGAUGGAAUUCCGCGUGUAGCAGUGAAAUGCGUAGAUAUGCGGAGGAACACCGAUGGCGAAGGCAAUCCCCUGGGCCUGCACUGACGCUCAUGCACGAAAGCGUGGGGGAGCAAACAGGAUUAGAUACCCUGGUAGUCCACGCCCCUAAACGAUGUCAACUGGUUGUUGGGGUCUUAACUGACUCAGUAACGGAAGCUAAACGCGUGAAGUUUGACCGCCCUGGGGGAGUACGGGCCCGCAAGGKUGAAACUCAAAAGGGAAUUUGACGGGGACCCGCACAAGCGGUGGAUGAUGUGGUUUAAUUCGAUGCAACGCGAAAAACCUUACCCACCUUUGACAUGGCAGGAACUUACCAGAGAUGGUUUGGUGCUCGAAAGAGAACCUGCACACAGGUGCUGCAUGGCUGUCGUCAGCUCGUGUCGUGAGAUGUUGGGUUAAGUCCCGCAACGAGCGCAACCCUUGCCAUUAGUUGCUACAUUCAGUUGAGCACUCUAAUGGGACUGCCGGUGACAAACCGGAGGAAGGUGGGGAUGACGUCAAGUCCUCAUGGCCCUUAUAGGUGGGGCUACACACGUCAUACAAUGGCUGGUACAAAGGGUUGCCAACCCGCGAGGGGGAGCUAAUCCCAUAAAGCCAGUCGUAGUCCGGAUCGCAGUCUGCAACUCGACUGCGUGAAGUCGGAAUCGCUAGUAAUCGUGGAUCAGAAUGUCACGGUGAAUACGUUCCCGGGUCUUGUACACACCGCCCGUCACACCAUGGGAGCGGGUCUCGCCAGAAGUAGGUAGCCUAACCGCAAGG
This 1387-nucleotide ribosomal RNA is filed under the name Comamonas thiooxydans. RNAcentral's name for it is "bacterial SSU rRNA". Lineage: Bacteria; Pseudomonadati; Pseudomonadota; Betaproteobacteria; Burkholderiales; Comamonadaceae. The record is from RNAcentral.